This 427-nucleotide ribosomal RNA is filed under the name uncultured beta proteobacterium. Its description in RNAcentral is "bacterial SSU rRNA". It matches the Rfam family "Bacterial small subunit ribosomal RNA", at positions 355 to 774 of the family's 1533-position model. The record is from RNAcentral. Lineage: Bacteria; Pseudomonadati; Pseudomonadota; Betaproteobacteria.
UGGGGAAUUUUGGACAAUGGGCGAAAGCCUGAUCCAGCCAUGCCGCGUGAGUGAAGAAGGCCUUCGGGUUGUAAAGCUCUUUUAGUCGGAAAGAAAAGAUCAUAAUGAACAAGUAUGAUUCAUGACGGUACCGACAGAAAAAGCACCGGCUAACUACGUGCCAGCAGCCGCGGUAAUACGUAGGGUGCGAGCGUUAAUCGGAAUUACUGGGCGUAAAGGGUGCGCAGGCGGUUUUGUAAGUCAGAUGUGAAAUCCCCGGGCUUAACCUGGGAAUUGCGUUUGAAACUGCAAGACUAGAGUGCAGCAGAGGGGAGUGGAAUUCCAUGUGUAGCAGUGAAAUGCGUAGAGAUGUGGAAGAACACCGAUGGCGAAGGCAGCUCCCUGGGUUGACACUGACGCUCAUGCACGAAAGCGUGGGGAGCAAACA